UUUAAAGUGGUACGCGAGCUGGGUUUAGAACGUCGUGAGACAGUUCGGUCCCUAUCUGCCGUGGGCGCUGGAGAACUGAGGGGGGCUGCUCCUAGUACGAGAGGACCGGAGUGGACGCAUCACUGGUGUUCGGGUUGUCAUGCCAAUGGCACUGCCCGGUAGCUAAAUGCGGAAGAGAUAAGUGCUGAAAGCAUCUAAGCACGAAACUUGCCCCGAGAUGAGUUCUCCCUGAGACUUUAGGUCUCCUGAAGGAACGUUGAAGACGACGACGUUGAUAGGCCGGGUGUGUAAGCGCAGCGAUGCGUUGAGCUAACCGGUACUAAUGAACCGUGAGGCUUAACCUU
Molecule: ribosomal RNA, 344 nt
Filed under: Salmonella enterica subsp. enterica serovar Typhi
Lineage: Bacteria; Pseudomonadati; Pseudomonadota; Gammaproteobacteria; Enterobacterales; Enterobacteriaceae
Description: partial 23S ribosomal RNA
Rfam family: Bacterial large subunit ribosomal RNA
Source: RNAcentral